RNAcentral lists this transfer RNA (64 nucleotides) under Lacrimispora algidixylanolytica. Its description in RNAcentral is "[Clostridium] algidixylanolyticum tRNA-Ala". It matches the Rfam family "tRNA", at positions 9 to 71 of the family's 71-position model. Rfam says of the family: Transfer RNA (tRNA) molecules are approximately 80 nucleotides in length. Their secondary structure includes four short double-helical elements and three loops (D, anti-codon, and T loops). The record is from RNAcentral. Lineage: Bacteria; Bacillati; Bacillota; Clostridia; Lachnospirales; Lachnospiraceae.
GACAUAUCGGGAGAGCUCUUGAAUGGCAUUCAAGAGGUCGUGGGUUCGAGUCCCACUUUCUCCA